This 720-nucleotide ribosomal RNA is filed under the name uncultured archaeon. RNAcentral's name for it is "bacterial SSU rRNA". It matches the Rfam family "Archaeal small subunit ribosomal RNA", at positions 146 to 864 of the family's 1478-position model. The record is from RNAcentral.
AUAAUUCCGGAUAACGCACAUAUGCUGGAAUGCUUUAUGCGUCAAAUGGAUUCGUCCGCCCAAGGAUGGGUCUGCGGCCUAUCAGGUAGUAGUGGGUGUAAUGUACCUACUAGCCUACGACGGGUACGGGUUGUGAGAGCAAGAGCCCGGAGAUGGAUUCUGAGACAUGAAUCCAGGCCCUACGGGGCGCAGCAGGCGCGAAAACUUUACAAUGCGGGAAACCGUGAUAAGGGGACACCGAGUGCCAGCAUCAUAUGCUGGCUGUCCGGGUGUGUAAAAUACACCUGUUAGCAAGGGCCGGGCAAGACCGGUGCCAGCCGCCGCGGUAACACCGGCGGCUCAAGUGGUGGCCGCUAUUAUUGGGCUUAAAGGGUCCGUAGCCGGACCAGUUAGUCCCUUGGGAAAUCUUACGGCUUAACCGUAAGGCUGCCAAUGGAUACUGCUGGUCUUGGGACCGGGAGAGGUAAGAGGUACUUCAGGGGUAGGAGUGAAAUCCUGUAAUCCUUGAGGGACCGCCAGUGGCGAAGGCGUCUUACUAGAACGGGUCCGACGGUGAGGGACGAAAGCUAGGGGCACGAACCGGAUUAGAUACCCGGGUAGUCCUAGCCGUAAACGAUGCGAGCUAGGUGUCACGUGGAUUGCGAAUCCAUGUGGUGCCGAAGGGAAACCGUGAAGCUCGCCGCCUGGGAAGUACGGCCGCAAGGCUGAAACUUAAAGGAA